AACGUCCAGUCAGAGAAGGGUCUGGCUGCAGACCAUGGGCUAGUGGAGCUCCACUCUCAAACCGGAAAUACGUCACCUCCACUUGAAAACAUCAAGAUGGCGUCGCCGGGAGUACUUCAAACUUAAACUCAGAUCAAAUGUAUAUCAAGUGUUAUCCAUCCUCAUAACACCUCCACAAAUAGAGAGUGGAACUUCUGAGCACCAUCACCUUGUCUGCUAUGGGACUGUCAUAGGUGAAUGAUGCAGUACUAUUCUGUGUUGAAUUUACCUAACGUCAGCACACAGACAUAGUAUUGUUCCAGUUUUGCUGUGCUCAUGUCUUCUUUGUGUCCCCAGCCCAGCAAUCAGAUGCAUCAGAACAACAAAGCACAACUGUGGUGGACCAGGCACCUUCAGCAACGAGUAAAUUGCUUUAACAUUAAUGAUAAUUAAAUGUCAGUAUUGUAAUUAAACUUGACCCAUCUAACGUAAUUGUUCAUGCCAGAGAUUUAACAACACUGUCAGUCAGGAGCAUAUUUAACAGGAGGCACACUUCAGCUGGCUUGAUGGUGACUUCAGUGCAGUGAAGAUAUUUAAAGAGACACUAUCUAAAGUACAGAAAGCCGUACAUAAUCUCUAGGUGCAGUCGCCUACAGUACAGCCAGCUUCACAAAGACUGUGGGGCUGGUCACCAGGAAAAUGGCCAACAAGGAGUGCUUUUGGGGUUUUACUCCUCAGAUGACCACCCUGGCUACUGUAGCUGGGAUUGCUUCACAGACAAUGGAGGUCUUGAAGAGUAAAGUGUGCAUGCAUGUGAACACAUUGUGUUAUUACAGUAACAAUUAUGGUCACUUGCAGUUCAUGUGUUUUCAAUGUAGUGUAAGAUGUGUUUAUUAUUAUUAUUACUCAAAAACCAUUAAAACUUCUAAAUUGUGGAAGUUAUUCUUCA
Long non-coding RNA from Carassius auratus (goldfish), 928 nucleotides. RefSeq lists it as uncharacterized. The record is from RefSeq and is a predicted model, not a curated record. Lineage: Eukaryota; Metazoa; Chordata; Actinopteri; Cypriniformes; Cyprinidae. The transcript is spliced from 3 exons.